Molecule: long non-coding RNA, 391 nt
Organism: Syngnathus typhle (broad-nosed pipefish)
Lineage: Eukaryota; Metazoa; Chordata; Actinopteri; Syngnathiformes; Syngnathidae
Exons: 3
Source: RefSeq, a predicted model, not a curated record
CAACAAUGCCGAGCAACGAGACGCAGCGACGACUAACGAGAAAUAUUUUUAUUUUCUGCUUGCAACUGUACCGUCCAGAGUGCACACGGUUCCACGGUAUUUGGUGGCUGUUUGUUUUCCACUGUAAGAAGAACGACUAUACAAACCAGUUGGAGGCUCGCUUCAUUGAUCACAACGGUUCCACCGUGUUCGUUGCCUGUAUGUUUGAAGGAUACAAAGUACAACGCUUGCACGUUGGCGAAGACGUCUUCGGUGAGUCCUUCCUUCCUUUUUAUUCAUGGGAAAGUCACAGACAACAAUAGCUAAAGUAACACAUUGUUAGAGGUAACUACAUUUGUCUUAAAUUGGAUAGAUUACUUGUUCCCACACCUUUUCGAACAAGUAAACUGGC